GGUGAGCUUCCUUUAUCUGUGCGAGUAGAUGAUCCAGAGCCUCCUUCUGGCCUCUUUGACGUGGGGCGCGCCCAUCGAUGUCCCUCCAACCUGGUGGAGAAAAGACAAACGGAUCAGAACUCGCCCAACCUUUAGAUCUUCCUGUUUGUACGUGUCACAGCGAAAUGACAAACGACCCAGAAUUCAUGACUCAUUCACAAAAGCAAAUGUCUCCUGCCAGCAUCCCUCAGAGUGUACCGCUCACAAUACCAAAACAGACACAGCAGCAUGGGGUCAAGACCAAAGACGCAAGCUGAGAUGAGGAUCAAGCUGUGGAGAGUCAGGAUUUCCAAGCUGUCAGGAAAACUGAGUAAAUCCUAUCCCCCAGGCCACUGGCACCGCUCAGGAAUGUGGUUCUUCCACUUUAAUUGUGCUUAACUUCCUAUCCCCAACUUGCAAAAUUAAAUUUCCCUUUUCUAACGUGUG
Molecule: long non-coding RNA, 465 nt
Organism: Oryzias melastigma (Indian medaka)
Lineage: Eukaryota; Metazoa; Chordata; Actinopteri; Beloniformes; Adrianichthyidae
Exons: 3
Source: RefSeq, a predicted model, not a curated record